This 272-nucleotide ribosomal RNA is filed under the name Vibrio vulnificus. RNAcentral describes it as "partial 16S ribosomal RNA". It matches the Rfam family "Bacterial small subunit ribosomal RNA", at positions 869 to 1140 of the family's 1533-position model. The record is from RNAcentral. Lineage: Bacteria; Pseudomonadati; Pseudomonadota; Gammaproteobacteria; Vibrionales; Vibrionaceae.
CCGCCUGGGGAGUACGGUCGCAAGAUUAAAACUCAAAUGAAUUGACGGGGGCCCGCACAAGCGGUGGAGCAUGUGGUUUAAUUCGAUGCAACGCGAAGAACCUUACCUACUCUUGACAUCCAGAGAAUCUAGCGGAGACGCUGGAGUGCCUUCGGGAACUCUGAGACAGGUGCUGCAUGGCUGUCGUCAGCUCGUGUUGUGAAAUGUUGGGUUAAGUCCCGCAACGAGCGCAACCCUUAUCCUUGUUUGCCAGCGAGUAAUGUCGGGAACUC